This 414-nucleotide ribosomal RNA is filed under the name uncultured bacterium. Its description in RNAcentral is "bacterial SSU rRNA". It matches the Rfam family "Bacterial small subunit ribosomal RNA", at positions 29 to 442 of the family's 1533-position model. The record is from RNAcentral.
AUUGAACGCUGGCGGCAUGCUUUACACAUGCAAGUCGAGCGGCAGCGCGGGGCAACCCUGGCGGCGAGCGGCGAACGGGUGAGGAAUACAUCGGAACGUGCCCGAGAGUGGGGGAUAACGCCGCGAAAGCGGCGCUAAAUACCGCAUAUUCUCUGAGGAGGAAAGUGGGGGACCGCAAGGCCUCACGCUCACGGAGCGGCCGAUGUCGGAUUAGCUAGUUGGUGGGGUAAAGGCUUACCAAGGCGACGAUCCGUAGCUGGUCUGAGAGGAUGAUCAGCCACACUGGGACUGAGACACGGCCCAGACUCCUACGGGAGGCAGCAGUGGGGAAUUUUGGACAAUGGGGGCAACCCUGAUCCAGCCAUGCCGCGUGCGGGAAGAAGGGCCCUUCGGGUUGUAAACCGCUUUAACCGG